RNAcentral lists this ribosomal RNA (468 nucleotides) under uncultured bacterium. Its description in RNAcentral is "partial 16S ribosomal RNA". It matches the Rfam family "Bacterial small subunit ribosomal RNA", at positions 28 to 507 of the family's 1533-position model. The record is from RNAcentral.
GACGAACGCUGGCGGCGUGCUUAACACAUGCAAGUCGAACGGAAAGGCCCUGCUUUUGUGGGGUGCUCGAGUGGCGAACGGGUGAGUAACACGUGAGUAACCUGCCCUUGACUUUGGGAUAACUUCAGGAAACUGGGGCUAAUACCGGAUAGGAGCUCCUGCUGCAUGGUGGGGGUUGGAAAGUUUCGGCGGUUGGGGAUGGACUCGCGGCUUAUCAGCUUGUUGGUGGGGUAGUGGCUUACCAAGGCUUUGACGGGUAGCCGGCCUGAGAGGGUGACCGGACACAUUAGGACUGAGAUACGGCCCAGACUCCUACGGGAGGCAGCAGUGGAGAAUAUUGCACAAUGGGCGGAAGCCUGAUGCAGCAAAGCAGCGUGCGGGAUGACGGCCUUCGGGUUGUAAACCGAUUUCGCCUGUGACGAAGCGUGAGUGACGGUAAUGGGUAAAGAAGCACCGGCUAACUACGUG